This 496-nucleotide ribosomal RNA is filed under the name uncultured bacterium. RNAcentral's name for it is "partial 16S ribosomal RNA". It matches the Rfam family "Bacterial small subunit ribosomal RNA", at positions 28 to 508 of the family's 1533-position model. The record is from RNAcentral.
GACGAACGCUGGCGGCGUGCCUAAUACAUGCAAGUAGAACGCUGAAGGAGGAGCUUGCUUCUCCGGAUGAGUUGCGAACGGGUGAGUAACGCGUAGGUAACCUGCCUGGUAGCGGGGGAUAACUAUUGGAAACGAUAGCUAAUACCGCAUAACAGUAGAUGUUGCAUGACAUUUGCUUAAAAGGUGCAAUUGCAUCACUACCAGAUGGACCUGCGUUGUAUUAGCUAGUUGGUGAGGUAACGGCUCACCAAGGCGACGAUACAUAGCCGACCUGAGAGGGUGAUCGGCCACACUGGGACUGAGACACGGCCCAGACUCCUACGGGAGGCAGCAGUAGGGAAUCUUCGGCAAUGGACGGAAGUCUGACCGAGCAACGCCGCGUGAGUGAAGAAGGUUUUCGGAUCGUAAAGCUCUGUUGUAAGAGAAGAACGAGUGUGAGAGUGGAAAGUUCACACUGUGACGGUAUCUUACCAGAAAGGGACGGCUAACUACGUGC